UUUAUGGAGAGUUUGAUCCUGGCUCAGGAUGAACGCUGGCGGCGUGCCUAAUACAUGCAAGUCGAGCGAACAGAUAAGGAGCUUGCUCCUUUGACGUUAGCGGCGGACGGGUGAGUAACACGUGGGUAACCUACCUAUAAGACUGGAAUAACUCCGGGAAACCGGGGCUAAUGCCGGAUAACAUGUUGAACCGCAUGGUUCUACAGUGAAAGACGGUCUUGCUGUCACUUAUAGAUGGACCCGCGCCGUAUUAGCUAGUUGGUGGGGUAACGGCCUACCAAGGCGACGAUACGUAGCCGACCUGAGAGGGUGAUCGGCCACACUGGAACUGAGACACGGUCCAGACUCCUACGGGAGGCAGCAGUAGGGAAUCUUCCGCAAUGGGCGAAAGCCUGACGGAGCAACGCCGCGUGAGUGAUGAAGGUCUUCGGAUCGUAAAGCUCUGUUGUUAGGGAAGAACAAAUGUGUAAGUAACUGUGCACAUCUUGACGGUACCUAACCAGAAAGCCACGGCUAACUACGUGCCAGCAGCCGCGGUAAUACGUAGGUGGCAAGCGUUAUCCGGAAUUAUUGGGCGUAAAGCGCGCGUAGGCGGUUUUUUAAGUCUGAUGUGAAAGCCCACGGCUCAACCGUGGAGGGUCAUUGGAAACUGGAAAACUUGAGUGCAGAAGAGGAAAGUGGAAUUCCAUGUGUAGCGGUGAAAUGCGCAGAGAUAUGGAG
RNAcentral lists this ribosomal RNA (720 nucleotides) under Staphylococcus pseudintermedius. RNAcentral's name for it is "bacterial SSU rRNA". It matches the Rfam family "Bacterial small subunit ribosomal RNA", at positions 1 to 703 of the family's 1533-position model. The record is from RNAcentral. Lineage: Bacteria; Bacillati; Bacillota; Bacilli; Caryophanales; Staphylococcaceae.